RNAcentral lists this ribosomal RNA (453 nucleotides) under uncultured Shewanellaceae bacterium. Its description in RNAcentral is "bacterial SSU rRNA". It matches the Rfam family "Bacterial small subunit ribosomal RNA", at positions 1081 to 1532 of the family's 1533-position model. The record is from RNAcentral. Lineage: Bacteria; Pseudomonadati; Pseudomonadota; Gammaproteobacteria; Alteromonadales; Shewanellaceae.
UGGGUAGCCGCACGAGCGCAACCCCUAUCCUUAUUUGCCAGCACGUAAUGGUGGGAACUCUAGGCNANNCUGCCGGUGAUAAACCGGAGGAAGGUGGGGACGACGUCAAGUCAUCAUGGCCCUUACGAGUAGGGCUACACACGUGCUACAAUGGCGUAUACAGAGGGUUGCAAAGCCGCGAGGUGGAGCUAAUCUCACAAAGUACGUCGUAGUCCGGAUCGGAGUCUGCAACUCGACUCCGUGAAGUCGGAAUCGCUAGUAAUCGUGGAUCAGAAUGCCACGGUGAAUACGUUCCCGGGCCUUGUACACACCGCCCGUCACACCAUGGGAGUGGGCUGCAAAAGAAGUGGGUAGUUUAACCUUCGGGAGAACGCUUACCACUUUGUGGUUCAUGACUGGGGUGAAGUCGUAACAAGGUAGCCCUAGGGGAACCUGGGGCUGGAUCACCUCCUU